This 497-nucleotide ribosomal RNA is filed under the name uncultured bacterium. RNAcentral describes it as "partial 16S ribosomal RNA". It matches the Rfam family "Bacterial small subunit ribosomal RNA", at positions 28 to 507 of the family's 1533-position model. The record is from RNAcentral.
GAUGAACGCUGGCGGCGUGCCUAAUACAUGCAAGUCGAGCGAACAGACGAGGAGCUUGCUCCUCUGACGUUAGCGGCGGACGGGUGAGUAACACGUGGAUAACCUACCUAUAAGACUGGGAUAACUUCGGGAAACCGGAGCUAAUACCGGCUCAUAUAUUGAACCGCAUGGUUCAAUAGUGAAAGACGGUUUUGCUGUCACUUAUAGAUGGAUCCGCGCCGCAUUAGCUAGUUGGUAAGGUAACGGCUUACCAAGGCAACGAUGCGUAGCCGACCUGAGAGGGUGAUCGGCCACACUGGAACUGAGACACGGUCCAGACUCCUACGGGAGGCAGCAGUAGGGAAUCUUCCGCAAUAGGCGAAAGCUUGACGGAGCAACGCCGCGUGAGUGAUGAAGGUCUUCGGAUCGUAAAACUCUGUUAUUAGGGAAGAACAAAUGUGUAAGUAACUAUGCACGUCUUGACGGUACCUAAUCAGAAAGCCACGGCUAACUACGUG